GCCACCACAGCAGUACCCCUGUCGAGGCUAGGACCCCAGGACUGGAGGGCAGGCAUACACUCCCCUAAGUGCCGGAGGAAAGGGCUAACCUGUGCCCGGGGCCCUGGACCCGCCUGCCGACGCGUGGUGCCGGAGCUGCGCUCCCAGCACUGGCUGCAGCGUCCSGGUUGGACAUCGCCGCAGAGCUGUCGCAGUGUGCGGAGGCUCUGCGAAUCCUGGUGGAGGCGGAUUAAAGAAAAGAACUUGACUGCUCACCAGGAAUUCGGGUUCCUUAAGAUCUUGGCGCUUCACCCUUAAAACCAUACAGGGCUGAUUGUUUCCAGAUCCUGACCCGGUGACAUUCCUCCCUCCAAAGUUGGCCUUGGCCCAGACAUCUUUUCAAGAAAAGCAAUUUAAUUAAGAGAGACAGGGUCUCACUGAGUUGCUUAGCACCUUGCUACAUUGCUGAGGCUGACUUUGAACUUGGGAUCCUCCUGCUUUACCCUCCCACCGGCACAUCUCACAUUGUGAAUCCAUGUGAAUUAGGACAUUUGGUUCUCGGCGGACACAACAUCUUUGUUUGUAUGUGGUGCU
Molecule: long non-coding RNA, 573 nt
Organism: Urocitellus parryii (Arctic ground squirrel)
Lineage: Eukaryota; Metazoa; Chordata; Mammalia; Rodentia; Sciuridae
Source: RefSeq, a predicted model, not a curated record